Molecule: ribosomal RNA, 253 nt
Filed under: uncultured bacterium
Lineage: Bacteria
Description: partial 16S ribosomal RNA
Rfam family: Bacterial small subunit ribosomal RNA
Source: RNAcentral
UACGUAGGUGGCAAGCGUUAUCCGGAUUUACUGGGUGUAAAGGGCGUGUAGGCGGGGAAGCAAGUCAGAUGUGAAAACCACGGGCUCAACCUGUGGCCUGCAUUUGAAACUGUUUUUCUUGAGUGCUGGAGAGGCAAUCGGAAUUCCGUGUGUAGCGGUGAAAUGCGUAGAUAUACGGAGGAACACCAGUGGCGAAGGCGGAUUGCUGGACAGUAACUGACACUGAGGCUCGAAAGCGUGGGGAGCAAACAGG